UACGUAGGUGGCAAGCGUUGUCCGGAUUUAUUGGGUUUAAAGGGUGCGUAGGCGGUCUUCUAAGUCAGUUGUGAAAUACUUCAGCUUAACUGGAGAGGUGCAAUUGAUACUGGAAGGCUUGAGUACUGAUGAGGUAGGCGGAAUGGACGGUGUAGCGGUGAAAUGCUUAGAUAUCGUCCAGAACACCGAUAGCGAAGGCAGCUUACUAAGGAGUAACUGACGCUGAGGCACGAAAGUGUGGGGAUCAAACAGG
RNAcentral lists this ribosomal RNA (253 nucleotides) under uncultured bacterium. RNAcentral's name for it is "partial 16S ribosomal RNA". It matches the Rfam family "Bacterial small subunit ribosomal RNA", at positions 524 to 776 of the family's 1533-position model. The record is from RNAcentral.